Molecule: ribosomal RNA, 385 nt
Filed under: uncultured bacterium
Lineage: Bacteria
Description: bacterial SSU rRNA
Rfam family: Bacterial small subunit ribosomal RNA
Source: RNAcentral
CGGCCGCUCUAGCCCUGACUGACUGAGUGCNAGCCGCCGCAAGGUGCGAGGAAGGCGGGGACGACGUCAAAUCAGCACGGCCCUUACUUCCGGGGCUAAACACGUGUUACAAUGGCCGGUACAGAUGGAAGGCUUGCCGYAAGGCAUUUCGGUUCUUGAAAGCCGGCCUCAGUUCGGACAGGGGUCUGCAACCCGACCCCUCGAAGCUGGAUUCGCUAGUAAUCGCGCAUCAGCCAUGGCGCGGUGAAUACGUUCCCGGGCCUUGUACACACCGCCCGUCAAGCCAUGAAAGCCGGGGGCGCCUGAAGUCCGUGACCGCGAGGGUCGGCCUAYGGCGAUACCGGUGAUUGGGGCUAAGUCGUAACAAGGUAGCCUCAGUCAGUCA